This 422-nucleotide ribosomal RNA is filed under the name uncultured prokaryote. RNAcentral describes it as "bacterial SSU rRNA". It matches the Rfam family "Bacterial small subunit ribosomal RNA", at positions 355 to 774 of the family's 1533-position model. The record is from RNAcentral.
UAAGGAAUAUUGGUCAAUGGGCGAGAGCCUGAACCAGCCAUGCCGCGUGAAGGAAGACGGCCUUAUGGGUUGUAAACUUCUUUUAAGAGGGAAAAAACUGAGCUACGUGUAGCUCAUUGCUUGUACCUUUUGAAUAAGCAUCGGCUAACUCCGUGCCAGCAGCCGCGGUAAUACGGAGGAUGCGAGCGUUAUCCGGAUUCAUUGGGUUUAAAGGGUGCGCAGGCGGACUAAUAAGUCAGUGGUGAAAUCCCAUAGCUUAACUAUGGAACUGCCAUUGAUACUGUUAGACUAGAGUAUGGAUGACGUAGGCGGAAUGCGACAUGUAGCGGUGAAAUGCUUAGAUAUGUCGCAGAACACCGAUUGCGAAGGCAGCUUACGAAGCCAUAACUGACGCUCAUGCACGAAAGCGUGGGGAUCAAACA